UACGUAGGUGGCAAGCGUUGUCCGGAUUUAUUGGGUUUAAAGGGUGCGUAGGCGGUCCUAUAAGUCAGUGCUGAAAUAUCCCGGCUUAACCGGGAGGGUGGCAUUGAUACUGUUGGACUUGAGUAAAGUUGAGGUUGGCGGAAUUGACGGUGUAGCGGUGAAAUGCUUAGAUAUCGUCAAGAACACCGAUAGCGAAGGCAGCUUACUGGGCUGUAACUGACGCUGAGGCACGAAAGUGUGGGGAUCAAACAGG
This 253-nucleotide ribosomal RNA is filed under the name uncultured bacterium. Its description in RNAcentral is "partial 16S ribosomal RNA". It matches the Rfam family "Bacterial small subunit ribosomal RNA", at positions 524 to 776 of the family's 1533-position model. The record is from RNAcentral.